CUGGUUGAUCCUGCCAGAAGUUACUGCUAUCGAGAUUCGACUGAGCCAUGCGAGUCGAAUGUUCUUCGUGAACAUGGCGAACUGCUCAGUAACACGUGGACAACCUACCCUUGGGUUCGGCAUAAUCCUGGGAAACUGGGGAUAAUACCGGAUAGGUCACAGCUGCUGGAAUGCACUGUGGCUCAAAGCUCCGGCGCCCAAGGAUGGGUCUGCGGCCUAUCAGGGUUGUAGUGGGUGUAAUGUACCUACUAGCCUACGACGGGUACGGGUUGUGAGAGCAAGAGCCCGGAGAUGGAUUCUGAGACACGAAUCCAGGCCCUACGGGGUGCAGCAGGCGCGAAAACUUUACAAUGCGGGAAACCGUGAUAAGGGAAUCUCGAGUGCCAGCAUAUAAUGUUGGCUGUCCAGAUGCCUAAAAAGCAUCUGUUAGCAAGGGCCGGGCAAGACCGGUGCCAGCCGCCGCGGUAACACCGGCGGCCCGAGUGGUAACCGCUAUUAUUGGGUCUAAAGGGUCUGUAGCCGGCCAGGUAAGUCCCUUGGGAAAUCUGGCAGCUCAACUGUCAGGCUGCUAGGGGAUACUGUUUGGCUUGGGACCGGGAGAGGUGAGAGGUACCUUGGGGGUAGGGGUGAAAUCUUGUGAUCCUCGGGGGACCACCAGUGGCGAAGGCGUCUCACCAGAACGGGUCCGACGGUAAGGGACGAAAGCUAGGGGCACGAACCGGAUUAGAUACCCGGGUAGUCCUAGCCGUAAACGAUGCUCGCUAGGUGUCAGUCACGGUGCGACCGUGAUUGGUGCCGUAGGGAAGCUGUGAGGCGAGCCACCUGGGAAGUAUGGCCGCAAGGCUGAAACUUAAAGGAAUUGGCGGGGGAGCACUAC
RNAcentral lists this ribosomal RNA (877 nucleotides) under uncultured archaeon. RNAcentral describes it as "bacterial SSU rRNA". It matches the Rfam family "Archaeal small subunit ribosomal RNA", at positions 4 to 882 of the family's 1478-position model. The record is from RNAcentral.